AUUUUCCGCUUGGGAUUAUUACGUCGAUAAAUGGGAAAUAAUCCGUCGAAGCGAGACUUUUUUGGAUUUGGCAGACUAAAGUGUGUAAGCAUUAGCAGUUGUAUUCUCUCUAUCCUGUAACAUAGACUGCCUGAUCUUUCCUAGGCCUUCAGGCAGUUACAUUGCCUAGUUAGUUAGAAGUGACUUUUUAAAGGGACUGUGCACUGCCUUUAAAGUGAGGAACGAUGGGGAAGAAAAGAAAAAAUAAACACAA
Eurytemora carolleeae is the source of this 253-nucleotide long non-coding RNA. RefSeq lists it as uncharacterized. The record is from RefSeq and is a predicted model, not a curated record. The transcript is spliced from 3 exons. NCBI's taxonomy places the organism in Eukaryota, Metazoa, Arthropoda, Copepoda, Calanoida, Temoridae.